GACGAACGCUGGCGGCGUGCUUAACACAUGCAAGUCGAACGGUGAUGGCCAGCUUGCUGGUCUGAUCAGUGGCGAACGGGUGAGUAACACGUGAGCAACCUACCCCAGACUCUGGAAUAACCAUGGGAAACGAUGGCUAAUACCGGAUACGAGACACACGCGCACGUGUGGUGUCUGGAAAGAUUUAUCGGUCUGGGAUGGGCUCGCGGCCUAUCAGCUUGUUGGUGGGGUAGUGGCCUACCAAGGCGACGACGGGUAGCCGGCCUGAGAGGGCGACCGGCCACACUGGGACUGAGAUACGGCCCAGACUCCUACGGGAGGCAGCAGUGGGGAAUAUUGCACAAUGGGCGCAAGCCUGAUGCAGCGACGCCGCGUGAGGGAUGACGGCCUUCGGGUUGUAAACCUCUUUCAGCAGGGAAGAAGCGAAAGUGACGGUACCUGCAGAAGAAGCGCCGGCUAACUACGUGCCAGCAGCCGCGGUAAUACGUAGGGCGCAAGCGUUGUCCGGAAUUAUUGGGCGUAAAGAGCUCGUAGGCGGUUUGUCGCGUCUGCUGUGAAAACCUAAGGCUCAACCUUGGGCUUGCAGUGGGUACGGGCAGACUAGAGUGCGGUAGGGGUGACUGGAAUUCCUGGUGUAGCGGUGGAAUGCGCAGAUAUCAGGAGGAACACCGAUGGCGAAGGCAGGUCACUGGGCCGCAACUGACGCUGAGGAGCGAAAGCAUGGGGAGCGAACAGGAUUAGAUACCCUGGUAGUCCAUGCCGUAAACGUUGGGCACUAGGUGUGGGGCUCAUUCCACGAGUUCCGUGCCGCAGCAAACGCAUUAAGUGCCCCGCCUGGGGAGUACGGCCGCAAGGCUAAAACUCAAAGAAAUUGACGGGGGCCCGCACAAGCGGCGGAGCAUGCGGAUUAAUUCGAUGCAACGCGAAGAACCUUACCAAGGCUUGACAUACACCGGAAACUUCCAGAGAUGGUUGCCCCGCAAGGUCGGUGUACAGGUGGUGCAUGGUUGUCGUCAGCUCGUGUCGUGAGAUGUUGGGUUAAGUCCCGCAACGAGCGCAACCCUCGUCCCAUGUUGCCAGCGGGUUAUGCCGGGGACUCAUGGGAGACUGCCGGGGUCAACUCGGAGGAAGGUGGGGAUGACGUCAAAUCAUCAUGCCCCUUAUGUCUUGGGCUUCACGCAUGCUACAAUGGCCGGUACAAAGGGCUGCGAUACCGCGAGGUGGAGCGAAUCCCAAAAAGCCGGUCUCAGUUCGGAUUGGGGUCUGCAACUCGACCCCAUGAAGUCGGAGUCGCUAGUAAUCGCAGAUCAGCAACGCUGCGGUGAAUACGUUCCCGGGCCU
RNAcentral lists this ribosomal RNA (1341 nucleotides) under uncultured bacterium. RNAcentral's name for it is "bacterial SSU rRNA". It matches the Rfam family "Bacterial small subunit ribosomal RNA", at positions 28 to 1381 of the family's 1533-position model. The record is from RNAcentral.